This 463-nucleotide ribosomal RNA is filed under the name uncultured bacterium. Its description in RNAcentral is "bacterial SSU rRNA". It matches the Rfam family "Bacterial small subunit ribosomal RNA", at positions 1 to 507 of the family's 1533-position model. The record is from RNAcentral.
CAGUAGUCACGAGUUUGAUCAUGGCUACAGAACGAACGCUGGCGGCAUGCCUAACACAUGCAAGUCGAACGAGACCUUCGGGUCUAGUGGCGCACGGGUGCGUAACGCGUGGGAACCUGCCUUUAGGUUCGGAAUAACUCAGAGAAAUUUGAGCUAAUACCGGAUAAUGUCUUCGGACCAAAGAUUUAUCGCCUUUAGAUGGGCCCGCGUUGGAUUAGCUAGUUGGUGGGGUAAAGGCCUACCAAGGCGACGAUCCAUAGCUGGUCUGAGAGGAUGAUCAGCCACACUGGGACUGAGACACGGCCCAGACUCCUACGGGAGGCAGCAGUGGGGAAUAUUGGACAAUGGGCGAAAGCCUGAUCCAGCAAUGCCGCGUGAGUGAUGAAGGCCUUAGGGUUGUAAAGCUCUUUUACCCGAGAUGAUAAUGACAGUAUCGGGAGAAUAAGCUCCGGCUAACUCCGUG